CCUACGGGAGGCAGCAGUGAGGAAUAUUGGUCAAUGGGCGCAAGCCUGAACCAGCCAAGCCGCGUGCAGGAUGACUGCUCUACGAGUUGUAAACUUCUUUUAUACAAGAGUAAACGCAGGUACGUGUACCUUUUUGAAUGUAUUUUACGAAUAAGGAUCGGCUAACUCCGUGCCAGCAGCCGCGGUAAUACGGAGGAUCCGAGCGUUAUCCGGAUUUAUUGGGUUUAAAGGGUGCGUAGGCGGGCUGUUAAGUCAGUUGUGAAAUCCUGAGGCUCAACCUCGGAAUUGCAGUUGAUACUGGUAGUCUAGAGUGUAGUUGAGGUAGGCGGAAGUCGUGGUGUAGCGGUGAAAUGCUUAGAGAUCAUGAAGAACACUGAUUGCGAAGGCAGCUUACUAAGCUACUACUGACGUUGAUGCACGAAAGCGUGGGGAGCAAACAGGAUUAGAUACCCGGGUAGUC
RNAcentral lists this ribosomal RNA (460 nucleotides) under uncultured bacterium. RNAcentral describes it as "partial 16S ribosomal RNA". It matches the Rfam family "Bacterial small subunit ribosomal RNA", at positions 338 to 795 of the family's 1533-position model. The record is from RNAcentral.